Long non-coding RNA from Heterocephalus glaber (naked mole-rat), 1679 nucleotides. NCBI's taxonomy places the organism in Eukaryota, Metazoa, Chordata, Mammalia, Rodentia, Bathyergidae. The record is from Ensembl.
UAACAGUACUUUUCCUUUUUUGCACCAGGGAUCAAACUUGCGUCCUUGCGCUUGUGCAUCAGGUGGCGAAACCACUGAGCUAAAUCCCCGCCCCCAGUUAUUACUUUUUUGUGUAAUAAAUAUUUUGUAUUUGAAAAAAGAAAAAAAGAGUGGUUGCCGGGAGUGGUGGCGCACACCUGUAAUUCCAGCACUUGGGAAGCAGAGGCAGGAGGAUCAACAUGAGUUUGAGUCUAGCCUGAACACAAAGUGAGACCUUGUCUAAAGAAAAAAGAGGUGACAGUGGACACCUUGUCCUGUUCUUGAUUUUACUUCCAGGCUGCCUGCCUUUCUUCCCUCCUCCCUCCCAUCUUUCUUUCUCUCUCUCUCCUCUCUCUCCUCUCUCUCCUUUUUUUUUCUGUACCGGGAAUCAAAUUCCAGGCCUUAUGUUUGCCAAGGCAUUGAGCCACUGAACUACAUCCCUGGCAUUUUUUUUUUUUUUGGUACCGGGGAUCAAACUCGGGUCCUUGCGCCUGCUCACCAGGAAGCGAAACCACUGAGCUAAAUCCCAGGCCCUUGAGACGAGGUCUUGCUAUGUAGUUCAGGCUGGCCUUGAACUCACUGUGUAGCCCAGGCUGGCCUCAAACUCAGUGAUCCUCUUGCCUCAGCUUCUCCAAUGCCAGUCCAGGCUAGCCUCACUCAUGCUCAACCUCCUGCCUCAGCCUCCCAUGUGCUGUGAUUACAGGCAUAUGCCACCAUGCCCACCUUUGGCACCCUUUUCCUAAACCAUUUAACCAUAUAUAUGAGGAUCUGUUUCUCAGCUGUCUUCUAUUCCUUUGAUCUGUUUGUCUUCCACCAGUACAGCACUGUUUUGAUUACUGUAGCUUUAUAGUUUUGUGUUUUGAGCCAACUCCUCACUAUGUAGUUCAGGCUAGCCUUGAUUUUUUUUUUUUUUUUGAAACAAGGUCUUGCUAUUUAGUUCAGUCUGGCCUUGAACUCACUCUGUAACUCACGUUGGCCUCAAACUCACAGCAAUCCUCCUUUUUCAGCCUCCUGUGUGCUGGGAUUAUAGGCGUGCAUCAUCAGGAAGUGCCAAGUCUCCAGCCAAGCAGCAUUUCCUUAAACUUACUAAUCUAUUAGUCAUAAUACAGAAGCAAGCUGGUGUCCCUCCAGCAAAGGAGGUCUCAUGCUGUGGCCCUGUGUGCACAAAAGCUUGUGAUGUUUUUAAGUCCAAAAUGACACUCACUGCAUGUAUAUAUUUGUAUGCUCACUCAAUUGGAAGUGUCAGAGAGAAAAUCAGAAUAUAAAUCAAAGCCUAGAACAGGCACAGGCCCUUUCAAACAUAUAUUGUUAUUCCUGAGCCCCGGGUAAUAGAAUGAAGGGAAAGCAGAUCCCAUUAAGUUGUGUUUACCUAAAGGUAGAACAUGAGUAAAAGAAUACUGUAUUUAACUGUUUGUUAGAAGCAUUGACUUGACGCCUUUACAGCACAUCAAAAGACUUCAUUUAUAUCAGGUAGCCAUAAACAGCUCUAGGACAAGAAGCCCCACCUCUUACCUGUGCAUCUUUGUACCUUUAAUUGCCCUUUUUUUUUUUUUGGAGAAAGUAGGUCAGAAAUGUUUGAGCCAGCUCUGCCACCACUGUUCUUUAAGCAGUUUGAACAAGAACCAGCAGAGACAGGGUAGGAGUGUAGCUCAGGAACAGAG